This 253-nucleotide ribosomal RNA is filed under the name uncultured bacterium. RNAcentral describes it as "partial 16S ribosomal RNA". It matches the Rfam family "Bacterial small subunit ribosomal RNA", at positions 524 to 776 of the family's 1533-position model. The record is from RNAcentral.
GACAGAGGGUGCAAACGUUGUUCGGAAUUACUGGGCGUAAAGCGCGUGUAGGCGGCUUGGCAAGUCGGGUGCGAAAGCCCUGGGCUCAACCUAGGAAGUGCACUCGAAACUGCCUCGCUGGAGUGCCGGAGAGGAAAGCGGAAUUCUCGGUGUAGCGGUGAAAUGCGCAGAUAUCAGGAGGAACACCGGUGGCGAAGGCGGGUCUCUGGGCCGAAACUGACGCUGAGGAGCGAAAGCGUGGGGAGCAAACAGG